AUACGUAGGGUGCGAGCGUUAAUCGGAAUUACUGGGCGUAAAGCGUGCGCAGGCGGUUUUGUAAGACAGUGGUGAAAUCCCCGGGCUCAACCUGGGAACUGCCAUUGUGACUGCAAGGCUGGAGUGCGGCAGAGGGGGAUGGAAUUCCGCGUGUAGCAGUGAAAUGCGUAGAUAUGCGGAGGAACACCGAUGGCGAAGGCAAUCCCCUGGGCCUGCACUGACGCUCAUGCACGAAAGCGUGGGGAGCAAACAGGAUUAGAUACCCUGGUAGUCCACGCCCUAAACGAUGUCAACUGGUUGUUGGGGAUUUAUUUUCUCAGUAACGAAGCUAACGCGUGAAGUUGACCGCCUGGGGAGUACGGCCGCAAGGUUAAAACUCAAAGGAAUUGACGGGG
Molecule: ribosomal RNA, 395 nt
Filed under: uncultured bacterium
Lineage: Bacteria
Description: partial 16S ribosomal RNA
Rfam family: Bacterial small subunit ribosomal RNA
Source: RNAcentral